UAAAAGCAAUAGUGUCUCAGCAAUACUCAGAGAUUUCCGCACAACUGGACGGAGUACAAAGGCGCCAGAAGCAAAACAGCAUGCGCUUGGAGGACUUCAUUUGUGCAUUCAAUGAUCAUCGAUUUGGCGUAGGACAGAAGGACUUUAAUGAGGGUCAGAGAGUUAAUAAUAUCAAGAAAACCUCAAAGAAUGUUGCUGCUAGUACAAAUGAAGUGCCAAAGUGUGUCUACAGCAACCCCAGCAAGAACCUUGCUGGGGAAUUUGAGGUAUGAAUUCCAUCUUGGAACAAUGUUUUUUUGUC
Triticum dicoccoides is the source of this 301-nucleotide long non-coding RNA. RefSeq lists it as uncharacterized. NCBI's taxonomy places the organism in Eukaryota, Viridiplantae, Streptophyta, Magnoliopsida, Poales, Poaceae. The record is from RefSeq and is a predicted model, not a curated record. The transcript is spliced from 3 exons.